CACAGGUGACUAGUCUCAGGUCUCGCCUCUCUUCCUGCUCUCAUGUGUAAUUGGCUACUGGUUUUGAAGCUGAGGCCAUUGACCAAAGGUCAAGGGAGAAGGUCCAUAGCAAGGAAGCCAGCCAACCACAGACUGGAAACCUCUGAAUGGGUGUCCACAACAAAUCACCCUCCUUCUACAUUGCUUCUUCUCAGCAUCUGUCUCAACAAGGAAACCAUGCUAGCCUAGCCACCGAUCUCUCUUGGUUCUAAGCACCACUGGGUCACCAAGGUCAGAGAUCUAACUUUUGGCAAAGAAGUGGAUCAGCAGGUAAGGUCACCUGCCACCCAGUCUGAAGACAUGAGUUGUUUAAUUCUGUUAACAUGGUGAAAGGAGAGAACCCAUUCCCAUAAGAUGACCUUUGGUAUUCAUGCAUACACCAUGGCACAUAGGCACAUACUCACAGACACAUAAAAAUACAUAAAUGUAACAAAAGUAAAGAGAAACAAAGAAAGAAAGAAAUAAAUGAAGGAAUAAAUCUGAAUUUCCUUCUUGUGGCAGACUGGACAGUUUCCUACUUCUCCCAAGACACUGCCUCCAAACACCUGGGACCCAUAAAUGCAUCCUAUGUGGUAUUAGGAAAUUACUUAUGGACUAACAUUUAGGAUCUUGAGAUGAGGAUGUUCUGGGUGAGCCCAGAAGCUACAAGGCUACAAGAGGGAGGCAGAAGGUCAGAGUGGCCUCUGGGAAGUGUGGAAAGAGAAGCCAGAAGUUAGAGAGUUCUUGCCCCAAGUCAAGAACUUGUGAUGGCCACCCAAAGCUGGAAGAACAAAGCUCCUUUCUGGAACAUCCUGAAGAAGCCACUCCUGAGAGCAACUGCCUCUUAGCCUUUUGGGUUGGUGAGCCCCUGCCGAACUAUAAUCGGACAUGUGUGCCUGUUUUAAGCUACUAUGCUGUGUCAGUGUUAUACAGGAAAUAAAUACAGCCUUGAUGCUGCUCUGUGGA
Long non-coding RNA from Mastomys coucha (southern multimammate mouse), 984 nucleotides. RefSeq lists it as uncharacterized. NCBI's taxonomy places the organism in Eukaryota, Metazoa, Chordata, Mammalia, Rodentia, Muridae. The record is from RefSeq and is a predicted model, not a curated record. The transcript is spliced from 2 exons.